This 669-nucleotide ribosomal RNA is filed under the name Flexibacter sp. MS32. RNAcentral describes it as "bacterial SSU rRNA". It matches the Rfam family "Bacterial small subunit ribosomal RNA", at positions 543 to 1223 of the family's 1533-position model. Lineage: Bacteria; Pseudomonadati; Bacteroidota; Cytophagia; Cytophagales; Flexibacteraceae. The record is from RNAcentral.
GGCAGUACGUAUGAGGGCCUUGUGCCCCUGCGGNCAGGUAGAACACAAAUAAAAUCCUCAUGCUUAACUAUAGAACUGCCUUUGAUACUGGUAUGACUUGAGUUAUACGGAAGUAGAUAGAAUAUGUAGUGUAGCGGUGAAAUGCAUAGAUAUUACAUAGAAUACCGAUUGCGAAGGCAGUCUACUACGUAUAUACUGACGCUCAUGGACGAAAGCGUGGGGAGCGAACAGGAUUAGAUACCCUGGUAGUCCACGCCGUAAACGAUGGACACUAGUUGUUGGAAUUAUUCAGUGACUAAGCGAAAGUGAUAAGUGUCCCACCUGGGGAGUACGAUCGCAAGAUUGAAACUCAAAGGAAUUGACGGGGGCCCGCACAAGCGGUGGAGCAUGUGGUUUAAUUCUAUGAUACGCGAGGAACCUUACCAGGGCUUAAAUGUGGUCUGACAGCUUUAGAGAUAGAGUUUUCUUCGGACAGAUCACAAGGUGCUGCAUGGUUGUCGUCAGCUCGUGCCGUGAGGUGUCAGGUUAAGUCCUAUAACGAGCGCAACCCCUAUCGUUAGUUGCUAGCAGGUAAUGCUGAGGACUCUAGCGAGACUGCCGGUGCAAACCGUGAGGAAGGUGGGGAUGACGUCAAAUCAUCACGGCCCUUACGUCCUGGGCUACACACGU